Molecule: non-coding RNA, 380 nt
Organism: Cinara cedri
Lineage: Eukaryota; Metazoa; Arthropoda; Insecta; Hemiptera; Aphididae
Source: the annotation of a GenBank genome assembly
GUUGAAUUUAGUACCCCCUAACAGUCAAUAAAUGUAGUGAUACCUUUUAGCUAAACUUAAUUUAUGUAAUAAAAUCAAUACAAAAAAUAUGUCCUAGGGUAAUAGGGUCAGGUUCAGCUACUGUUUUAGGUAAUUUAAUGUAUAUCUGUAAUCAAUGAUAGACCAUUGCUUACAGAAAAUUGCAGUAAUUUGUAAAAUUGUGGUGUGGGUGUAAAAUCGAUCCGACAACUUGGUGGGACAAACUUCUAGGUCGUCAUGAUACUGUAUAUAUAAUGAGUGCAUUAAACCCUUCGUAAUUUCGAAUGUAGUUACACGCGUGCAUUUUUAUCGAGAGGAGUUGGCACAAAUGGAAUUUGUAUGUUUGUGUGAAUAAAUAACGU